AUUGAACGCUGGCGGCAGGCCUAACACAUGCAAGUCGAACGGUAACAGGAAACAGCUUGCUGUUUCGCUGACGAGUGGCGGACGGGUGAGUAAUGUCUGGGAAACUGCCUGAUGGAGGGGGAUAACUACUGGAAACGGUAGCUAAUACCGCAUAACGUCGCAAGACCAAAGAGGGGGACCUUCGGGCCUCUUGCCAUCGGAUGUGCCCAGAUGGGAUUAGCUAGUAGGUGGGGUAACGGCUCACCUAGGCGACGAUCCCUAGCUGGUCUGAGAGGAUGACCCGCCACACUGGAACUGAGACACGGUCCAGACUCCUACGGGAGGCAGCAGUGGGGAAUAUUGCACAAUGGGCGCAAGCCUGAUGCAGCCAUGCCGCGUGUAUGAAGAAGGCCUUCGGGUUGUAAAGUACUUUCAGCGGGGAUGAAGGGAGUAAAGUUAAUACCUUGGCUCAUUGACGUUACCCGCAGAAGAAGCACCGGCUAACUCCGUG
This 490-nucleotide ribosomal RNA is filed under the name uncultured bacterium. Its description in RNAcentral is "partial 16S ribosomal RNA". It matches the Rfam family "Bacterial small subunit ribosomal RNA", at positions 30 to 507 of the family's 1533-position model. The record is from RNAcentral.